Molecule: ribosomal RNA, 414 nt
Filed under: uncultured bacterium
Lineage: Bacteria
Description: bacterial SSU rRNA
Rfam family: Bacterial small subunit ribosomal RNA
Source: RNAcentral
CGAGAAUCUUCGGCAAUGGGCGCAAGCCUGACCGAGCGACGCCGCGUGGAGGACGAAGGCCUUCGGGUUGUAAACUCCUGUCGAGGGGGAAGAAGGCCCCGAAAGGGGCUUGACUGAUCCCUGGAGGAAGCACGGGCUAAGUUCGUGCCAGCAGCCGCGGUAAGACGAACCGUGCGAACGUUAUUCGGAAUCACUGGGCUUAAAGCGCGUGUAGGCGGGACGGCACGUCGGUCGCUGAAAGCCCCCGGCUCAACCGGGGAAGGGGCGCCGAUACGACCGACCUGGAGGGACGUAGGGGGACCUGGAACUUCCGGUGGAGCGGUGAAAUGCGUUGAGAUCGGAAGGAACGCCCGUGGCGAAAGCGAGGUCCUGGACGUUUACUGACGCUGAGACGCGAAAGCCAGGGGAGCGAAC